GUGUGCUGCUAUAGAAACUCUGCAGGGAGCAUGGAAGGAAGAGUUGCACCUUUCCAGAAGAACAGACCAGGAAGCCUGUGGACAGAAGUCCUGUGUCAGUGUGUAGCUGGGAAAGGUGGGUGACCAGAACCAGCUGGAGGCCCAUAGGAGGCAGCAGGUGUUGUGCUCCUUACACAGAGGACACAUACUGCACUUCCAUGAUGUGGGGAACACAGUCCUGCGGAGGCUCCACAUCUUCUUCUGAAGCUGGUGAAGCCACUGAUUCCACUACCACAUCUGCUGCCAUCAUGGAUGGAUCCUCUGCCUUGAUCUCAGGAGCAGUUCUGAUGGAAAUGUGAAUAUCUGUGGGAAGAGAGGAGGAAGUCAUGUUUUCAGUGUCCUCUUUUUCUGACAUCCCAGGU
Long non-coding RNA from Dipodomys ordii (Ord's kangaroo rat), 401 nucleotides. RefSeq lists it as uncharacterized. The record is from RefSeq and is a predicted model, not a curated record. Lineage: Eukaryota; Metazoa; Chordata; Mammalia; Rodentia; Heteromyidae. The transcript is spliced from 3 exons.